ACACAGGUAGUAUAUAAGUACAGUUGCCUUCCAAGCAGAAAGCCCAAAUAUGGCCAGUGUA
This 61-nucleotide transfer RNA is filed under the name Pilsbryoconcha exilis. Its description in RNAcentral is "tRNA-Gly". The record is from RNAcentral. Lineage: Eukaryota; Metazoa; Mollusca; Bivalvia; Unionida; Unionidae.